UUCUGAUCGUAGGUGACCUGCGGAAGGACAU
Molecule: ribosomal RNA, 31 nt
Filed under: Leucodermia boryi
Lineage: Eukaryota; Fungi; Ascomycota; Lecanoromycetes; Caliciales; Physciaceae
Description: partial 18S ribosomal RNA
Source: RNAcentral